GGAUGGGAGGUUGGGGGUAGGUGGUGGUUGUCUGCUGGUUCUGAGUGUGGGAGGAUGGGAGGAUGGGGGGUAGGUGGUGGUUGUCUGCUGGUUCUGAGUGUGGGAGGGUGGGAGGAUGGGUGGUAGGUGGUGGUUGUCUGCUGGUUCUGAGUGAGGGAGGAUGGAUGGUAGGUGGUGGUUGUCUGCUGGUUCUGAGUGUGGGAGGAUGGGGGGUAGGUGGUGGUUGUCUGCUGGUUCUGAGUGUGGGAGUAUGGAGGAUGGGGGUUAGGUGGUGGUUGUCUGCUGGUUCUGUGUGGGAGGAUGGGAGAAUGGGGGUAGGUGGUGGUUGUCUGCUGGUUCUGUGUGUGGGAGUAUGGAGGAUGGGGGUAGGUGGUGGUUGUCUGCUGGUUCUGAGUGUGGGAGAAUGGGAGGAUGGGGGGUAGGUGGUGGCUGUAUGCUGGU
Molecule: long non-coding RNA, 441 nt
Filed under: Salmo salar (Atlantic salmon)
Lineage: Eukaryota; Metazoa; Chordata; Actinopteri; Salmoniformes; Salmonidae
Description: lncRNA (ENSSSAG00000105706.1)
Source: RNAcentral